This 187-nucleotide ribosomal RNA is filed under the name Rhodospirillaceae bacterium. RNAcentral describes it as "partial 16S ribosomal RNA". It matches the Rfam family "Bacterial small subunit ribosomal RNA", at positions 1 to 186 of the family's 1533-position model. The record is from RNAcentral. Lineage: Bacteria; Pseudomonadati; Pseudomonadota; Alphaproteobacteria; Rhodospirillales; Rhodospirillaceae.
GUCAACUUAAGAGUUUGAUCCUGGCUCAGAACGAACGCUGGCGGCAGGCUUAACACAUGCAAGUUGAACGAGAACGCACCUUCGGGUGUUAUUAAAGUAGCGAACGGGUGAGUAACGCGUGGGAACCAACCCUGGAGUGGGGGACAACUGCUGGAAACGGCAGCUAAUACCGCAUACGCCCUACGGG